Molecule: ribosomal RNA, 492 nt
Filed under: uncultured bacterium
Lineage: Bacteria
Description: partial 16S ribosomal RNA
Rfam family: Bacterial small subunit ribosomal RNA
Source: RNAcentral
AGUGAACGCUGGCGGUAGGCCUAACACAUGCAAGUCGAACGGCAGCACAGUAAGAGCUCGCUCUUACGGGUGGCGAGUGGCGGACGGGUGAGGAAUACAUCGGAAUCUACUUUUUCGUGGGGGAUAACGUAGGGAAACUUACGCUAAUACCGCAUACGACCUACGGGUGAAAGCAGGGGAUCUUCGGACCUUGCGCGAUUGAAUGAGCCGAUGUCGGAUUAGCUAGUUGGCGGGGUAAAGGCCCACCAAGGCGACGAUCCGUAGCUGGUCUGAGAGGAUGAUCAGCCACACUGGAACUGAGACACGGUCCAGACUCCUACGGGAGGCAGCAGUGGGGAAUAUUGGACAAUGGGCGCAAGCCUGAUCCAGCCAUACCGCGUGGGUGAAGAAGGCCUUCGGGUUGUAAAGCCCUUUUGUUGGGAAAGAAAAGCAGCAGGUUAAUACCCCGCUGUUCUGACGGUACCCAAAGAAUAGGCACCGGCUAACUUCGUG